RNAcentral lists this ribosomal RNA (494 nucleotides) under uncultured bacterium. RNAcentral's name for it is "bacterial SSU rRNA". It matches the Rfam family "Bacterial small subunit ribosomal RNA", at positions 29 to 517 of the family's 1533-position model. The record is from RNAcentral.
AACGAACGCUGGCGGCGCGCCUAAUACAUGCAAGUCGAGCGAGAAGGUGUAGCAAUACACUUGUAAAGCGGCGAACGGGUGAGGAAUACAUGGGUAAUCUACCAUCGAGUGGGGAAUAACCAACCGAAAGGUUGGCUAAUACCGCGUACGCCUCCGAAUCUUCGGGUUCGGAGGGAAAGCUGCACUGUGAGUGUAGCGCUCUUUGAUGAGCUCAUGUCCUAUCAGCUUGUUGGUAGGGUAACGGCCUACCAAGGCUUUGACGGGUAGCUGGUCUGAGAGGACGAUCAGCCACACUGGCACUGCGACACGGGCCAGACUCCUACGGGAGCAGCAGUAAGGAAUAUUGCGCAAUGGGCGAAAGCCUGACGCAGCGACGCCGCGUGGGGGAUGAAGGUCUUCGGAUUGUAAACCCCUUUCGGGAGGGAAGAUGGAGCGAGCAAUCGUUCGGACGGUACCUCCAGAAGCAGCCACGGCCAACUUCGUGCCAGCAGCCG